AGGACGAACGCUGGCGGCGUGCUUAACACAUGCAAGUCGAGCGGAAAGGCCCUUCGGGGUACUCGAGCGGCGAACGGGUGAGUAACACGUGAGCAACCUGCCCUUAGCUCCGGGAUAGCUCCGGGAAACCGGAAUUAAUACCGGAUAUGACUUAGGCCGACAUCGGCUGUGGUGGAAAGUUUUUUCGGCUGGGGAUGGACUCGCGGCCUAUCAGCUUGUUGGUGGGGUAAUGGCCUACCAAGGCGACGACGGGUA
This 255-nucleotide ribosomal RNA is filed under the name uncultured bacterium. RNAcentral describes it as "partial small subunit ribosomal RNA". It matches the Rfam family "Bacterial small subunit ribosomal RNA", at positions 26 to 285 of the family's 1533-position model. The record is from RNAcentral.